CUCACUUAACUCUCCAGCCGAAUCCUCCCUUCUCUCUUUCUUUCCCUUUUGUUCUCCAGUCCUCUCCAAUCUCCAGCAGACCUGUCGGCGGGAGUAAGCCUGCACCUAAGGGGGGAAGUUGGACAUUCGAAACACCGGCGCGCCUCUUGUUGACCUUUCCUCAGGAGAGUUUGAUAUUAGCACCUUGCAGGGGAGAAACCUGUUGGUUAAGAUGGAAGUACGCAAAGAGAAUCGGAAUAUAAGAGAUAACCACCGUCGCUUGCUCGCAGAGAAAUUUGAAUUGAAGCGAAACCUUUACAAGGCACUGGUUAGAGAUCCCACACUUCCUCAGGAGAUGCGUGAGCUACAUGCAUAUAAGCUGGCCAAGUUGCCAAGGAACAGUUCCUUUACACGAGUGAGAAACCGAUGUGUUUUCACUGGUCGUCCUCGUGGUGUUUAUCAGCUGUUUAGGAUGUCUCGUCUUGUUUUCCGUUCAUUGGCAAGCCAAGGUCUGUUGGAGGGCAUAAGGAAGGCGUCCUGGUAACCCAGAUUAACAGGACAUGGAUUGGAUUGACUCACAGCUAGUGUUGCUCGAGCCAAGGAUGUAAUGGGUUAUAUCCUUAACUUGGAGUAUUGUCUUGUUAAAUAUAUCAUGCAGUUUCCAGUUUUGACUUGAGAAAAUGUUUUGUUGGUGGUGCUUUUGAUUUUAGAAUAAAGAUGGGUCCUGUUCUUAUAUUUUCUAUCUGUAGCAUUUGGAAUUGAUUUGUGCAUAACCUUCAAAUUUUUGCGUUUGACAAAAUUCUAGACUAUUCUUUCAU
Long non-coding RNA from Populus euphratica (Euphrates poplar), 797 nucleotides. RefSeq lists it as uncharacterized. The transcript has 3 exons. NCBI's taxonomy places the organism in Eukaryota, Viridiplantae, Streptophyta, Magnoliopsida, Malpighiales, Salicaceae. The record is from RefSeq and is a predicted model, not a curated record.